AUUAGUAUAUUUCUAUUUGUGUUGUCAUUAACACCAAAACAAAAUAGGGGUCCUAGAUGCACUUUCAAUCUCCCUAUUUUUGGUGAUUGAUAACAACACAAUUAGAAACGACAAUG
RNAcentral lists this unclassified non-coding RNA (116 nucleotides) under Oryza sativa (Asian cultivated rice). RNAcentral describes it as "partial microRNA MIR497i precursor". Lineage: Eukaryota; Viridiplantae; Streptophyta; Magnoliopsida; Poales; Poaceae. The record is from RNAcentral.